This 67-nucleotide transfer RNA is filed under the name Neotriplax arisana. Its description in RNAcentral is "tRNA-Trp". Lineage: Eukaryota; Metazoa; Arthropoda; Insecta; Coleoptera; Erotylidae. The record is from RNAcentral.
AAAGAUUUAAGUUAAAUAAACUAAUAACCUUCAAAGUUAUAAAUAGGGUAUGAAUCUCUAAUCUUUA